GAUGAACGCUGGCGGCGUGCCUAAUACAUGCAAGUCGAGCGAACAGACGAGGAGCUUGCUCCUCUGACGUUAGCGGCGGACGGGUGAGUAACACGUGGAUAACCUACCUAUAAGACUGGGAUAACUUCGGGAAACCGGAGCUAAUACCGGAUAAUAUAUUGAACCGCAUGGUUCAAUAGUGAAAGACGGUUUUGCUGUCACUUAUAGAUGGAUCCGCGCCGCAUUAGCUAGUUGGUAAGGUAACGGCUUACCAAGGCAACGAUGCGUAGCCGACCUGAGAGGGUGAACGGCCACACAGGAACUGAGACACGGUCCAGACCCCUAAGGGAGGCAGCGGUAGGGAAUCUUCCGCAAAGGAGAAAGCUUGACGGAGCAACGCCGCGUGAGUGAUGAAGGUCUUCGGAUCGUAAAACUCUGUUAUUAGGGAAGAACAAAUGUGUAAGUAACUAUGCACGUCUUGACGGUACCUAAUCAGAAAGCCACGGCUAACUACGUG
This 496-nucleotide ribosomal RNA is filed under the name uncultured bacterium. RNAcentral describes it as "partial 16S ribosomal RNA". It matches the Rfam family "Bacterial small subunit ribosomal RNA", at positions 28 to 507 of the family's 1533-position model. The record is from RNAcentral.